RNAcentral lists this ribosomal RNA (1685 nucleotides) under human gut metagenome. RNAcentral describes it as "bacterial LSU rRNA". It matches the Rfam family "Bacterial large subunit ribosomal RNA", at positions 804 to 2495 of the family's 2925-position model. The record is from RNAcentral.
AUGAGGUGUGGAUAGCGGAGAAAUUCCAAUCGAACCCGGAGAUAGCUGGUUCUCCCCGAAAUAGCUUUAGGGCUAGCGUCGCGCGAAGUCACGUGAAGGUAGAGCACUGAAUAUGUGAUGGCCUCAUCCCGAGGUACUGAGCAUAAUCAAACUCCGAAUGUCACGAGGACAUGCGCGGCAGUCAGACUGCGGGUGAUAAGGUCCGUAGUCAAGAGGGAAACAGCCCAGACCAUCAGCUAAGGUCCCAAAAUAUAUGCUAAGUGGAAAAGGAUGUGGAGAUGUCCAGACAACCAGGAGGUUGGCUCAGAAGCAGCCACCCUUUAAAGAGUGCGUAACAGCUCACUGGUCGAAUGACUCUGCGCCGAAAAUUUACCGGGGCUAAGCAUAAUACCGAAGCUAUGGAUUUAUAGAGAAUAUAAGUGGUAGGGGAGCGUUCCAGUCAGCGAGGAAGCAUGAUCGUAAGGACAUGUGGAGCGGCUGGAAGAGAGAAUGCCGGUGUGAGUAGCGGCACGUGGGUGAGAAUCCCACGCACCGAAGACCCAAGGUUUCCAGAGGAAGGUUCGUCCGCUCUGGGUAAGUCGGGACCUAAGGCGAGGCCGAGAGGCGUAGUCGAUGGACAACGGGUGGAUAUUCCCGUACCUGGCGUGAGGGCGAUGGAGUGACGGAGAAGGCUAGGCGAUCCAGCUGCUGGAAUAGCUGGUGCAAGCGAGGUAGGGGACAUCCAGGCAAAUCCGGAUGUCAUAACCCGAAGACGUGAAGCGUAUGGAACAUUACGAUAAGUACAGAAGUCGCCGAAGCCAUCUUCCAAGAAAAGCUUCUAGCGAUACCUCAAGUCAGCCCGUACCGAAAAUGGACACACAUGGGUGAGGAGAGAAUCCUAAGGUGAGCGAGAGAACUAUAGCUAAGGAACUCUGCAAAAUGACUCCGUAACUUCGGGAGAAGGAGUGCUCAGUGAAAGCUGAGCCGCAGUAAAACGGCCCAAGCGACUGUUUACCAAAAACACAGCUCUCUGCCAAGACGCAAGUCGAAGUAUAGGGGGUGACGCCUGCCCGGUGCUGGAAGGUUAAGAGGAGUGGUCAGUCUUAAGGCGAAGCCAUGAAUUGAAGCCCCAGUAAACGGCGGCCGUAACUAUAACGGUCCUAAGGUAGCGAAAUUCCUUGUCAGGUAAGUUCUGACCCGCACGAAAGGCGUAACGAUUUGGGCGCUGUCUCAGCUGUAGACUCGGUGAAGUCUUAGUACCUGUGAAGAUGCAGGUUACCCGCGACUAGACGGAAAGACCCCAUGGAGCUUUACUGUAGCUUGAUAUUGGAUUUUGAUGCAUGAUGUACAGGAUAGGUAGGAGACAAAGAGACGGAUACGCCAGUAUUCGAGGAGUCGACGUUGGGAUACUACCCUUGAUGCAUUGAAGUUCUAACCGGACGUCGUGAAGCCGAUGACGGGACAGUGUCAGGUGGGCAGUUUGACUGGGGCGGUCGCCUCCCAAAGAGUAACGGAGGCGCCCAAAGAUACCCUCAGCAUGGUUGGAAAUCAUGCGCAGAGUGCAAAGGCAGAAGGGUGUUUGACUGCGAGACAUACAGGUCGAGCAGGGACGAAAGUCGGGCUUAGUGAUCCGGCGGUGCCGAAUGGAAGGGCCGUCGCUCAACGGAUAAAAGCUACCCUGGGGAUAACAGGCUGAUCUCCCCCAA